GAUGAACGCUGGCUACAGGCUUAACACAUGCAAGUCGAGGGGAAACGAGGGGGAAGCUUGCUUCCCCGGGCGUCGACCGGCGCACGGGUGAGUAACGCGUAUCCAACCUGCCUCUGACUGAGGGAUAACCCGUCGAAAGUCGGCCUAAUACCUCAUGGCAUCGUCUGCGGGCAUCCAACGACGAUUAAAGAUUUCAUCGGUCAGGGAUGGGGAUGCGUCUGAUUAGCUUGUUGGCGGGGUAACGGCCCACCAAGGCUACGAUCAGUAGGGGUUCUGAGAGGAAGGUCCCCCACAUUGGAACUGAGACACGGUCCAAACUCCUACGGGAGGCAGCAGUGAGGAAUAUUGGUCAAUGGGCGGGAGCCUGAACCAGCCAAGUAGCGUGCAGGAUGACGGCCCUAUGGGUUGUAAACUGCUUUUAUGCGGGGAUAAAGUGAGGGACGUGUCCUUCAUUGCAGGUACCGCAUGAAUAAGGACCGGCUAAUUCCGUG
Molecule: ribosomal RNA, 491 nt
Filed under: uncultured bacterium
Lineage: Bacteria
Description: partial 16S ribosomal RNA
Rfam family: Bacterial small subunit ribosomal RNA
Source: RNAcentral